ACAAUUUCUAUCGACUCCCUCCACCUACGGGGCGUUGACCAGCCUACUGGGCGUCGAUUGCCUCCGUAGGUGGGUCUGCCUUAGGCAGUUUUGGCCACCAAGAUGGGUCCUUCCUCAAGGACCCUUGGUUGGUCUUUGGGGAUGUUUUUCCAAACGGUUCCAACUCGAAUAUGAUUUUAUACAAGUUUAGGACCUCUCACAUCAAUUUCAUCUAAAACGGACAUGUAAAACUCCAUGAAACACACUAAGACACACAAGGUCGUUUCAAGGCAAACCUUUCGAACGUCAUGGACGUUUGACCUCCAAUAUUCAUGAAACUUUAACCACUACCUCCUAGAAACAUUAUAACCCAUUUUAGUAAUUCAAAACAUUAAGACACAAGAAUUAGACUCUAGUUUAACAUAAGUUGUUUUAAAGGUAUUACAGUUGAGAAGAUCAACAAUCUUUGUUCAUUUACUAGGAAGCUUUGUUAUUUAUUGAUGUUCAACGGAGAAGAAGAGACAUUGAAAAGGAGGUAGUACAUUUUCGAAGAGGAAGAGCAAAUUGAUCGAAAUUAGAGGAGAGCAAUACGAGUUUCGAGCUGGUGCAUCAAUUUGGUGAUGAAAUUUUACAUUUGGAUAUCGAAAUUGGAGAAAAAGUUAACAAGUUUUCCAUCACUAUGAAAUGGAUGUUGCAAGAAAAAAGAGAGAAUCAAGUAAAUUUUUCCAGAAAUCUUGUGUAUAUGGUAUUAGGAAGAAUUCAAUGAGAAUACAGAAAGGCUCUAUGAACAAAAUCCCUAAAGGUUAGUACUACAUGUCAGUCGAUAGUAUUUUAUUGCCUCUUUCAUUCUCCAUAAUUUUGUCCUGUUGAUAAGUUUAUGAGAAAUUAGAUAACAUCUUUCACUUUUGUGAUUCAUUAUUUUCUGUCUUUUAUAUAUUCUCAGAUUAUUAUUUACCUUAUUCUUGAUCGAUUAGAAUCUGUUUGGUUAAUUUACAUUCUUGAUUCACUGAAGUUACAUGAAAUUAAUAUGCAUUUCUCAAUGUUAAUGUACAACUAUUGAGAUGCAACACAAAUGUUGUGCAUGCUCACAAGUCACAGGGGAAAAAGUACGAACUCGAGAUGAUGUAGACUUCGUAGCUGAACAUUAACUAAGUAUCGACUUUAUCGAACAUCUGUUGGAAUACUUCUUUUGAUGAAGUAAUAGAUUUUACAGAAAGGACAUCAAGAAAAUGCAAUUAGUUCAAUAUUGAACAUCUACUGUAGUUUUAAUACAACUAUUAAUUGGAUAUGCAACUUCCUGGUGCUAUACAGGUAGGGGUGUAAAUGUGCUCUUUUAGGACAGAGCUUGAAUGAGCAUACAUUUGUGCGUCUGUGCUUGACAAACUUGGUGUGAUGAUGGGUCCAACUGUUUAAGCUAAUACUCAUAAAAGUUUUUAUGUGUAAACAUGUUAAAGAAAAUACUUGAUAAAAUUUCAUAUUAUACUCUUUUCCCUUAAUUUUUUUAUCAGUAAGUGAGGCUAAGCUUUGACACUAUAAGUUUAGUUAAAUGAAUAGUGAGAUAGUCUUUUGUAGUUAUGUUUAAUGAUUAUGAUUCAUUUAUUCUUAAUCAAAACAUACAAGAAGAUAGUAAAUGUAGGAGAUAAACUAGAAGAAGAUGAUAGCUAACAAAAGAAAAUCUGAGUCUUAGCUAACAAAGUUUAGAAAGUCGAAGAAAGAUCAAUGUACAACUACGAUUUGUAUUUAUACACAACCUGAAUGAACGGCUGAAUUGGCCAAUCUUGCACUAACUGAGGCCUCAAUUAACUAACUACCGUCACAGUGUUAACUAACUCUUUUGAAAUACUAACUGCCUAACAUAAUUUUAUUAGUCGUUGUGCAGGAAAAGUUGUACAGAUUUCUAGGUUUAGUUAUUUAAAGAAAAAAGUGAGGGUGUGUCCCUUAUUUCUCUGAGAAAUUGUUCUUGCUUCUUCUUAGCGAAAAUUUAUCAAAAAUAUGACUUCUUAUCUAAUUAGUAUUGUUGCUUUGAGUUACGAUUUUUCAUUUGUAUAUUUUAUUGUUGCAUAUGCUUUCGUCUAUUUGGAUUUUUGAUUGCGCAUAUCACAUUGAAUUUUCACCUCUUCUACUAAAGACAACGCUAGCCUUUGUAUAACAACAAAGACACAAUGUAUCCGCAUAGAAGAGAAUUCUAUUUCAUCAUGAUAGUUACUAUUUGACAGCCUUUAAUAUUAGUUGACGUAGCUAAUGGAGAACAUUACAGAUAAAGAAGUCGUUGAAAAUAUAGCAAACUUGAUGUCAUUUAAUGAUGUAUGCAUCUGUAGUUGUGAUGAUUAUUAUUUUGCUAUGGAAGACAGCUAUGCUACAUAGUAAGUUAUCUACAAUUUGAUAUUUCCGUAAUUCAUUUAUCAAUGGCUGUAAAGAUUGCCUACUACCUUUCAGCUGUCAUCAAUGUACUUAUUUUCAAAGCUCUGCAGACAUCACCAUCAGUUGUUGCUGCUUGAUUGGCUGUUGAUAAUCUUAUUUGUAUAUUAUACUUCACAAUAGUGUUUGCAUUGACUUCUAAUAUACCUACUGAGAUUACUCAAUUAGCCACUAGUAUGUACACCAUUCAAAUGAUAAAAUAUUUCAAUGCUCCUUGUCAUGUCAAUUAUUAUUUUCUAUCUUCUGUUCCAUCCAUGUUGUAAUAGUAAAAUUUAAAAUGCCUCAAAGUCUUUAUGAAUCAUCAGAAUGGAAAGUCAAAUUAAAGACUCUUGAAUUAUGGUUAUGUUGAAAUUUUAUUCCCUAUCAAGUAGUAGAGUUAUUUGUUGUUUAUCUAAAAUACCCAUAACCGGAGCGCUAGACCAAUUCAUAAGCCUUGUAAAUUAGGUUGGAUUGAUUGACCAAAAGCUUAGGCGCUCAUUGAUCGGAGGUGAAAAGGCUAGACCAAAAUCUACAGUAGCUUAAUUUGUACUACCUAAAUUUGUUUUAAGUUUCUAGGACUAGAUAAAUUUGUACUACCUAGGAUCACGAUGCAUGUUGUAUUAGUAGAAAAUCUGCACUAGCAAAAUCUAUUCGAAGUGUGUAGAAACACCCCCAAAACCCUUGAAUCCCAAAUCGAACUUCCCAACAUAUCCCAAAACAUUGUAUGUAUCUACAGGUAGCUUUACAUCAAGGAAUGGGGUGCUAAUACUUAAAAUGAGGCGUUGGAUUGUUACAUAUAGAUUCUCUCAUCAAAACCUUUAGUUUUUUUCUAGUUCUUUAUCAGUUUUUUCUAUCUUUGUUUUGACAUUUUCAACUGCUUUGGGACUGUGUUGGCUCUUUGGAUGGUUUUGAUGCAAUCACUUGAUUUAGAUGGCUAGAAGAUAGUUGUCGCUCUUGUGGGAAGACACAUAGGUUUGCUUCAUACUCAUUUUCUUUUACAACAACAUUUCAGGUACUUGCUGUGAUGCUUAUUUCUGAAAGUGUGUUAACUUCACUUGAUUAAUCAUUUGAUAACUUAAGUGCUAUGUUUUGCAUUGUACAAAAGGAAGGUGGGGAAAUCCUCAUAAAAAUAACAAUGCAUAAAUUUAGAAAGAAUAUCUUCUAAAAAUAUAAAAUAGGAAAAAAAUAUUGAUGAAGAAAAGAACAAAUUGGCCGAGAAAACAACAAUUUAUGGGGAAAAAUUAAUCACCUCAAAUCCUUAGGUUGAAAAGAAUAAAGGACCUAUGCAGCAAAUUCCAACCUCCCGUCAAGUGUACUCAAACAACCACGUCUUCAUAUAAAGAGGAGGGAGUGUUGAAUGGUCCUCAGGGCUAACAGUGAGGAUUUUAGAUGUUUUGAAUUGUACCUGCAACUAACACUGAGGAUUUUGGGAGACCAGAAGAACAAAUUUGGGAAAUAGGAGUUUUGAAUCGUGCUCAAAGCAAGGUGAACAUCAACAAACUUCAGUCCCACGUAGCUAAAAGAAUGUGUUUUAUAUUCAGCUGAAAGGAAUGCAAAAUAACAUUAUAUAAUAUUAGUAUGGAUUGAGCAUUUUGAACAUACUAUAGCUCAAUGAUGAACAACCAUUUCUAAAUUAAUCUAAAAAGGUAGAUAGAUGAAUUUACAACUUGAUAGGUCCAUUUAAACUGAUCGAUCAAUCUACUGUUUCUAUUUCUUAGAUUUGCUAUAGUAGUGCAAUGACAUGGCAUCUCUACUUCAACUAUUGACUAUAAACAGUGGAACAGUUCCUUUGAUAAGAUAUGUAUAUAAAAUAUAUAUCAUGUUCUAAUUACCUAUUUUUAAUAAUUGCGAGCUCUGAAUGUUGAGAACUGAUUUUUCAAAUAACAAUUUGUAUUGUUUUGUAAAUAGAAGGAACAUUUCACCACUUUGGAUCAUAUUGAAGAAAAUCUUCGUGUGACGAAGAAUCACUGCUAAAAUUGAAUAUUGUCACUAAUGGAAUAGCAGUAGCUCUGCUAAAAUUGAAUAUUGUCACUAAUGGAAUAGCAGUAGCUCGGAGAAGCUAAUGUACGCUGAAAAUCAGCUGUUGAAACAGUGAUGGAUGUGUGCGAGGAAGGAACUAAAACAAAACUAGCGACUCUGUACGAUAGAAAUUUUUUUAAAAAGACAGAUAUGCUCCUUCACCCUUGUUAUUAUGAAAAUAUCAUGCUUUUGUGUUCUUCCAUAGUUCGAUAACAAAGAGACAUGCCCCUGGGUUGUACAAGUAUUAAUAAAUAUAUGUAUGUAAACUUUGCUAGAGUUGCUGCAAGUACUUGGUAACGUUUGAUAUUGUA
Solanum pennellii is the source of this 4706-nucleotide long non-coding RNA. RefSeq lists it as uncharacterized. The transcript is spliced from 4 exons. NCBI's taxonomy places the organism in Eukaryota, Viridiplantae, Streptophyta, Magnoliopsida, Solanales, Solanaceae. The record is from RefSeq and is a predicted model, not a curated record.